This is a long non-coding RNA of Dermacentor silvarum, 1026 nucleotides long. RefSeq lists it as uncharacterized. The record is from RefSeq and is a predicted model, not a curated record. NCBI's taxonomy places the organism in Eukaryota, Metazoa, Arthropoda, Arachnida, Ixodida, Ixodidae. The transcript has 3 exons.
UGUAAGACAUUCCGAGAUAAGCGGAGUUUCGAGAUAGCCACAGAGUUUUCGACCGACGGUAACCUCCACAGGGCGUCAUUCUGACCGCUGAGAAAGCGCAAAAAUGAACUGCACCGGAUAAGCCAUCGCUACAAAAUCACGGCCCUUAAAUAUGGAGGUAGGGGAUUCCAAAAUUGUUUGCGCCGUUUGCAGCCAGCUGAACAAUGGCCUCAACAUCGUAUCUCUGGAAAGCAGCAUGCCGCGCGUUGCGAGAAAUACACCGCGGGAAAGCGCUCGCCACCGCCCUCCUUAGUAACCUGACCAGCAACCGCCCUUGCUGCCACUUGGCAGCAAGGGCGGCAGCAGGCUUCAAGUGUGCUCACGGACUCUGCGCAUCUUUUACGCAAGCACUUGCUGAUACCUUAUCCUGCAAUCCGGCUCUGGUGGCUUCGCUACCGUUUCGGACUUGAUCGCCCUGGAUUGGAAAGCUGCGUUUCCCUACGUUAGCAUCACCUUUCAAGCCACGAAAAUUUGACUGCGACAUUGCCGCUUCUGCCCCACUGGCUCAUCUGCGGACACUACAAAAGGACCGAGCGCAUCAUCUGCUCUUUCACUUGGCAGCAAGGGCGGCAGCAGGCUUCACGUGUGCUCACAGACUCUGCGCAUCUUUUACGCAGGAUGUUCGAUGUGUUGUGUGAGCUGCCCUCGCUAGAGCUGAUCCGAGGCGUCAUUCAAGGACCAUUGAACCGCUACAUCAUGGCCGCGCGCCUUUCUGCGCCGCACUCGCCGAUUCUGUGCUGUGGUCCACCAGCACUCAUGGACAAAGUAUGCAGGGCAGUGCUCGCAGAUAUUGGCUACAAAAAUGAACACCUCCUCUUUUAUUGAGCCGGUGACAAUGAAACACCACACUAGGUGCUCACCGUUUUCUACUUUCCCGUUGGCACCUGCUGUUCUCCUGGAGCCACCACGAAGUCUACGGGCACGCCCGCCUUAUGGUGUGUUGGCUUACGGGGUACACCUGCCUGGCGGAGCCUGCUGAAUCGUGCG